GAAAAUGGAAGAAAACACUGAUAAACGCUAGAAUUGCAAAGCGGAAGUGGUCCGCGAGUGAAUUUUGCGUAAUGAGUGACAGGAGAACGAACUAAAGAGAAAGAGAAAUGGCGCCUCAAUGCCAUUCUUACUGAGGCAGAGUACAGACGGAUAGACAGAUUAAACAAGUGAAAAUAAACGGACAAAUCAUGGUGAACACAAGAAAGAACUCUCGGCAUAAGCCGAGCAGUCCCUUCAUCUCGUCCAGGACCCGGUCUUCUGCCAGAAAUCCCUCCAACUCUGAAGAACAUUGCCAUGAUGUCCUUGAGGAGCAGAUUCAAUGCGUGAGCAGCACAGCCAAUGGGAAUGAUGUGAGGAAGGAUCCCAGUAGUGAUGUGAGCAGUCCUGGACUGUCCCCUCCAUCGAAGCGAACCCGUAGACAAACCAGCUCCAGCGACACCUCUCCCUCCCCCCAGGCCAAGGGCCAGAGGGUCUCCUGGGGCAUGCCCACCUACCGCACCAGGUUGUCAUCUGGCGCCCUGCAAAAUGGAAAAGCCCAUAAGGAGGAGGGGGCAGGAGACCACUCUCACAUGAAUGGCCAUGUUGACCGGAAGAGGAGCUGCCAAGUGAGGAAGAGCCAGUUUGAACACCUCAACCAGAGCCUGCUGUUUGACCAGCUCGUCAACAGCACGGCGGAGGCAGUUCUUCAGGAGAUGGACAACAUCAGCAGCAUCAGACAGAACAGGGAGGUGGAGAGACUCCGCAUGUGGACAGACACUGAGGUGGAAAACAUGGACAUGUACUCUUGUGUGAAGAGGAGGAAGGCACUGCGCAGGAACACCUUUGGCAUGCAGACACACCACAAAGCCAUGAGCAAGACAGAAUCGGAAGAGGGGACUGAAGAAUCUCAUGGUGAGGAAGAGGAUGACGAAGCAGAGGAGGAUGAGGAUGAUGAUGAAAGAAACGAGACCGAGGAGGCUGGAGAGGGGAACGACAGACCGUACAACUUGAGACAACGCAAGACCGUACAGAGAUACGAGGCGCCACCUAUUGAGCCCGUCAACAGAAAACAAAACAACCCCUCCCUGUUUGACACCCACAGGUCCCCAGCAAGGAGAAGCCAUAUACGAGUGAAGAAGCAUGCCAUCCACAGUAGCGACACUACGUCGUCAUCUGACGAGGAGAGAUUUGAGAGGAGGAAAAGCAAAAGCAUGACCCGGGCCAGGAACAGGUGUCUGCCUUUGAGCCUGAGAGCAGAGGACCUGGCCAGUGGGGUGCUGAGAGACAGGGCCAAGGUGGGAGCUAGCCUCGCUGAUGUGGACCCCAUGAAUCUGGACACCUCAGUGAAGUUUGACAGCGUAGGAGGGCUCUCCAACCACAUCCAGUCUCUGAAGGAGAUGGUGGUCUUCCCUCUACUUUACCCAGAGGUCUUCGAAAGGUUCAAGAUACAGCCCCCAAGAGGGUGUCUGUUCUACGGCCCACCAGGUACAGGGAAGACCCUUGUAGCGCGGGCUUUGGCCAACGAGUGUAGUCAAGGAGACAAAAAGGUGUCUUUCUUCAUGAGGAAGGGAGCCGACUGCCUCAGCAAGUGGGUCGGUGAAUCAGAACGACAGCUACGCCUACUUUUUGACCAGGCGUACCUGAUGAGGCCCUCCAUAAUCUUCUUUGAUGAAAUAGACGGUCUGGCCCCAGUGCGCUCCAGCAGACAGGACCAGAUACACAGCUCCAUAGUGUCCACUCUGCUGGCGUUGAUGGAUGGUCUGGACAGCCGAGGGGAAAUCGUGGUGAUCGGUGCUACCAAUAGGCUGGACUCCAUAGACCCUGCUCUACGGAGACCUGGACGCUUUGACAGGGAGUUCCUCUUCAACCUGCCUGACAGGACGGCCCGAAGACAAAUCCUUGAGAUCCACACGCGGGACUGGAAUCCUAGACUGGCUGAACAGUUUGUAAAUGAGCUGGCUGAGAAAUGUGUCGGUUACUGUGGCGCAGACAUCAAAGCACUUUGCACAGAGGCGGCCUUGGUGGCACUGCGGCGUUGCUACCCCCAGAUCUACGGCAGCAGUGUUAAGCUGCAGCUGGACGUCAGUACCAUCGUGCUGGGGCCUGGGGACUUCAGCCAUGCUCUGCGGACCAUCGUCCCAGCUUCCCAGAGAGCCCAGGCUCCUCCAGGCCGAGCCCUGGCCCCCAACAUACGCCCCCUACUAGCCAACACACUGGCCACGGUGCUGGAGGUCCUGCUCCGAGUCUUCCCCCAUGCAGAAACACGGCACGGGGAGAGUAGAGGAGACGUUGACAAUCACCUGCUAGAGGAGGUCAGUGAAGAGGAGACUGAUGGAGCUGCUCCCUCCAUCUACAACCUCCAGCCGGGAUCCCCAAAGACACACGCACACACACCCGUCCUACACUUCACCAUAUCAGCCCUUCACCAGCCCACGUCGUACCGGCCUCGCCUGCUGCUGGCGGGUCCCCCCGGUUCGGGACAGAGUUCUCACCUGGCCCCUGCUGUGUUACACCACCUGGACAAGCUGUCUGUCCACCUCCUAGACUUGCCCACACUCUACUCUGUCAGCGCCAAGACACCCGAGGAGUCCUGCGCUCAGGUGUUCCGUGAGGCGUGUCGGAGCGUGCCCAGUGUGGUGUUCAUGCCCCACAUCUGUGAUUGGUGGGAUUCGGUCAGCGACACGGUGAAGAACACCUUCUUCUCUCUACUCCAGGACGUCCCCUCUUUCACCCCCCUCCUCCUCCUCGCCACCACAGAGACGUGCUACACACAGCUACCAGAGGAGGUGAAGUUGAUGUUCCAGACGACGUACGGGGAGGUGGUCAGUCUGUCUUCACCUGGAGAGGAGGACAGACGAAGGUUCUUCAUGGACCUGCUACUGGUACAGGCUGCUCGAGCGCCAUCCCACAGGAGACACAAAGCCCUGCUGUGUGAGGAGGUGCUUCCGGUAGCGGAGGUCCCUGGCCCCAGGGUUCUCUCCCACGAGGAACAGCUUCGCCUGGCCGACCAGGAGGAGAACACUCUGAGAGAACUGCGUCUGUUCCUCAGGGACGUCACCAAGCGCCUCGCCAUAGACAAACGCUUCAACAUCUUCAGCAAACCUGUUGACAUUGAGGAGGUGUCAGACUACCUGGAGGUAAUUAUUCAGCCUAUGGAUCUAUCUACAGUCAUGACCAAGAUCGACACCCAUAAAUACCCGACAGCCAAGAACUUCUUGGUGGACAUAGACCUCAUCUGCAGCAAUGCCCUGGAGUACAACCCUGACAAGGAGCCCUCAGAUAAGAUCAUCCGCCACAGAGCGUGCAGUCUGAAGGACACGGCGCACGCCAUGCUGGCCUCGGAGCUCGACCCAGAGUUCAACCGCAUGUGUGAGGAAAUCAAGGAGUCACGCAGGAAGAGGGACCUCCAGAUUCUGGAUGUGCCUCCUGUCUCCCUGGCUGCCGUGGUAACCACCAGGAAGCCGGCCGGAGAGGGGAACGCUGGGAGCAGCGUCGACAAGCACCACUGCAGCAGCAGCACUCACAUAAAAAGGAAAGCACGUCGGCGGCCAUCUUGGGGGCGGGGCAUCAUUAGGAAGAAGAAGAACUACAAGAAGGGAACGGAGGAAGAGGAGGAUGAAGGUGCGGAGCCUAAGCCGGAAACGGCAGUACCCAGCGACUCCUGUCUGACUCAGGACGAAGAGUCUUCCUGUGACACCAUGGACCCUCAGCCCAACGGACACCACACACACCCUCACACAUAUGGCAUCUCCACGGAGGAGGAGAGCUCCAAUGAGGCCCCUAGGGGCCAGAGAACAGAGACCCAAGGGGUGAGCAACACAGGGAUAGGGCCCAAGGAGGACGAGACACCAACUACAGAAGACCAAGCCAAAUCUACAUGUACAGACAAAGACCCCCAGUCUAAAAGUGAGUCUUAUUGUAAAAACAAGGAGCCCAAAGCUCAGGAGAUCCAGUAUAAAGGUGAGGGGUCAUCAUCUAAAGAUGAAGGUUCCCAAGCCGAAAGUGAGAACCCCCAAGCCAAGCCUAAGGAGGAAGGUUUCCAGCCCAUGGAUGUUGAGAAGGUCCAGCCUAAAGACGACGAGGUCCAGUCCAAGACUGAGCAGCAGUCGUCAGUCCCCACGCCGGCCACAGCACCCCCUGUCCCUCGGGAGUGUGUGAACGGGAAUGAGUCCAUGGACAGCCUGGAUUCCCAGGCCCUCAAGAGCUCUGAAACAGAGUGGCCUACAGCGGUCGAAGGUGAAGCGUCAGAGGGGGAAGUGUUGGCGUCUGCAGUAAGCAGAGGAACUCAGGAACGCCGUCUUCAGGACGGGAGGACAGGAGACGCGGAGACGGGCAAGGAGGAGCAGGACAGAGAAGGCUGCUCCAAGGGGAGGAAGUGCAGAAUGAGACAAUCAGAGCAGUCAAAGGCAUCAACUGAUGGGACAGAGGAGCCUCCACAGACCCCUCCACCACCUACACUAGUGGUCGAUCAACAUCGACUCACGGUAAGGGAUGGCCCUCUUGGACACAGUGGUACAGAGGAGUGAAGGCUACAGCGUGGAACGCUUGGAGAGACUCUUCUCUCUCCUCAGUCAGUGCAUCUACCAACACCGACUGGACUACGACAAGACACGGCUACAGGAGGAGAUGGAGAGGAAAGUCCAGAAUUUCAUUACAUUCCUGUGAGACAGCCAGGUUUACCCUGAACACACACACACACACAAGCGGGACAGAGACAAGCCUUUGAGCCAAGUACUUACACACAGAGCAAAUAUAGAGCCCUGGUCUUAACAUGAACGACAGAACGGGGAGACUUUUCUAUGGUGCUAUAGUCUCAGGUACCCUGGUCGGACCCAAAUCCAGUCAACAACCAAACAGACUCCUGGACACGCACACACGAACGGUGAAUCGGCCAUUCCUGGUGCUAUUCAGGUGCUAUCCUAAUCCUUGCUGCUGUUGGGAGUAACUCGGAAACUAACCAACAAAACAGAUUGGGUGAUGUCAUAUCUCAACGACGGCCUACUUUUAAACUGGGCACACACACGUAAACUACAUAUGUGCUUAGUUGUGCACACACAGUAAUCCCAUUCACAGAUUGUCACCAGCAGUGUGAGUAUGUGCAGUUAGCUUGGAGGUUGAGACAGUCUCCUGUCUUGUCACCAUUGCUGAGCCCAUGUCAUCUCUCAGUACGCUAGUGAAUCAAGAUUAUAGGCCAGUCAUCUCAUAGAUACAACAGCUUGGUUUGAAUAGCCUCUGGAUCUAAUCAAUUAUGAUUUGUUUUAUUUUAUAUGGAUCUUAUAACCACCGUUCUCGCUCCAAACAUUGUCCAAUGUUCAUUGAAAUGUUUUUAACAUGACCAUACUGUAGGGUAAAGUUGGCACUGCUGGGCUAGAAUCAAUUGCCAGCAUUACAAAAACAUCAAAUCCCCAUUAAUAAGGGUGUUACUGAAAUGCAUCAAUGGGAACUGAGGAAGCAUUUGUUCGAGUUUGCAGUGAACAUCAAAAUAACAUUAAUUGACAAGACUUUUAUCAGUCGUAGCAAACAGAUUGACGUGCUGCAUCACAGUUGUGUAAAAAAAAAAAAAUUCUACACAAGCUGUGCCCUUCCUGUCAAUCCGCACCUAACUGGAGUAACUCAAAUUAAAUUGGACACCUUUUGUAAUUUGCACUGCCUAGCAUGUGCUUUAUUUUACCCCCAAUUAACUUUCCUAAAGAACAGCUGUUAAGGUUAUCAACUGCUCUGUUCCAUGUAAUGCUGGAUGUAGAAGUUCCCCUUAACUAACCACGUAUCUAGGAUCAAAUGACCAAACUCUCAAGCCUAACUUUAACCUUGACAGUGGUGUAAUAAUAUCUGACCCAGGACCAGUGGAUAGAAGUCUACAGUAGGAAAGCAGAUCUACUGUCUUUUCCUGCCCACAUGAGUAAAAAUGUAUUUUAUGAUUACUUUCAUGUCAACGGAUGCCACAAAUUAGUCACAGCAAAAGUGGUGCCAAUUUUCCGUGACCGUUUUUAGUCGACAUUCAUGAAAAAAGAAAUCUUAACUCUAUAAAGAUUUAGAUAAGGAACUUAGUUGGCUAUGUAUUAUGUUGUGCAUUUGAUUCCUAAAAAAAAAAAAGAUUUUCUAUUGUAUGAUACAUUGGAAACUGUUUUGAAUUGUUUGUGAAGCUUCUGACCAUGAACAAGACCAUUCAAGGCAGUGCCCUGUUGAGGUAUAAAACAGCAUUCUAUCGUUUUAAUUAUUUUGUUGAUGCUUUUGAUUGUCUAGUGGGAGGGGUGUAAUUCGCUAUAGCCAGCCCAUCCAUGUUCACCUUGUGGUAAAGAUAUGCAUUUUUGUUUUUCAACUUUCUGGUCUUUCCUUGGCCAUGGAUGAAUCCAUGUUUUGACGAGAUGUGGCCAGCCUCAGUCUUUUACAUUCACAGUUAAAAGGUGGACUCCGAUAUGACAUGGUUGCAGAAAGUAACCCGCAACAAUUAAGUGUUAAAGCACAAGGCUCCUCUUCUCCACUGUUUUGGUGCUGUGAAGCAGAUACUGUGUGUGAGCGAAGUCUUGCGACUUACUCAUGUCAAUAUCUGUGGCAGUGGAAUUUGGCUGUCUACCUUUUAAUGCCAGGGUUCUUCAGGUCCUGGAGAACUACUAGGCAUGCAGGCUUUUGUUCCAACCAAAUCGUCAUGGUGUUCUUCAGGCUUGACUACGAUUGGGCAGUAACAGAAUCCUGUAUGCCUCGUACUUCUCCAGGAUUGGAGAGCCCUGCUUUAUGCUGAGCCUAACUCCACAUCUGCCUUCUCUUGGAGUGACAGGUGAAGAUUUAACAAUUAAAAUAAACAUAUGCAAACUAGCAUUGGAAUACUGCAGAGAUAGAGAAACAAAGCUACCUCAGCUUAAUUUAUUUUAAUGCUAAUAAGACAAACUGUUUACUGGGCGCAAACAGUAUUUUGCCAUGUUCUAAACUAUUGUCGCAACACUCAGUACAGCUAAGGUACUGGAUAAUCAGUCAGUUCUGUGGCUGCUUCGGUAACCCAACAGUUUGUUUGGUUGGUUCUCACCUUUUUCACUUUUUUUGUCUAUAUUGCAUUUGAGCCGAGACGAAACAUACAGCAUUUAAUUUCAAGGAAAUGUCAAACUGUAUAUUUCAGUUCUGUAGACCGAGACGUCUUAAGAUUGCUUUCCUUUCAGAUCGUACUACUACACAUAUUCGCUAGUCUUGUCCAUCAAGCCACAAUCUCCUUUUUUUUUUCAUUUGAGGGUAAUUGUUUUUGUAGACUUGAAUCUCUUUCUCGUGGUGAUUUAUUUGUAUUUUAUUUAUUAAUAAUUAGACAUGUUUUUACGUCUAUCCAUUAAACAAAUUGGCAAUAGUUGUUACUCGGUUAUGAGUUUAGUGCUGAAGUGAGGUAGCGGACUAGCAUGUAUUGGAGAAUAAAGAAGUUUACAGGUGUCUCAGGUUUCUUCAGGCUACACAUGACCUUUCAACUUUCCUAUAUAUUCCAUUGUGGUGUUUGUUUUUCUUUAGUUUUGUGGUUAUGGACUGUGGUAUACUGGAUGAGGCUAACAUUGACAAUGGAAUUUUUACAUCAAAACAAUAGUGUGUUGGUAGUGUAAAUCUUAUUCACGUUGCUGACACAAUUUGGCAAGCAUCUUAGAAAAUAACAUCUGUCAAAGUUUGUCAGCAAUUUUUGUCCCUUUUAAGAAUUGGGUUUCAAAAUGUGAUACAUUUUUUUUCAUCCUCUCCUUGUUCUUGUCUAUACAAACAACCAAUUUUUGUCUGGUAGUUAAAGAUGAUUUAGUCCAGUAUGCACACAAUUUUCCAUCACUACUUACUGAGUUUCUCGUGUGGGAUUUAUUUAGUAGAUUUUGUUUUCGUAGCAUCACCAUGUUUCAUGAUUUCUUGAGGUUAAAGUUUAUUGAACAUCCUCUUCCCCAUCAAAUGUUACUUUGGUGCAAGUUAUUUGAGAGAAACUUUUACUGUAUUUCUAAAAACUGCUGUGAUAUACUUGAAUAAAAGGUGCAAAUUGUA
Oncorhynchus tshawytscha (Chinook salmon) is the source of this 7968-nucleotide RNA transcript. It is a transcript of the gene named ATPase family AAA domain-containing protein 2B-like, with no coding region annotated. The record is from RefSeq and is a predicted model, not a curated record. The transcript is spliced from 29 exons. Lineage: Eukaryota; Metazoa; Chordata; Actinopteri; Salmoniformes; Salmonidae.